GUCCACGCCAUAAACGAUGAGAACUGGAUGUCGGAAGGGUCUGCCUUUCGGUGUCGUAGCUAACGCGUUAAGUUCUCCGCCUGGGGAGUACGGCCGCAAGGUUGAAACUCAAAUGAAUUGACGGGGACCCCGCACAAGCGGUGUAGCAUGUGGUUUAAUUCGAUGCAACGCGAAGAACCUUACCUGGCCUUGACAUCUGUCGAAUCCUGCAGAGAUGCGGGAGUGCCUUCGGGAACGAUAAGACAGGUGCUGCAUGGCUGUCGU
RNAcentral lists this ribosomal RNA (264 nucleotides) under uncultured bacterium. RNAcentral describes it as "partial 16S ribosomal RNA". It matches the Rfam family "Bacterial small subunit ribosomal RNA", at positions 793 to 1055 of the family's 1533-position model. The record is from RNAcentral.